Molecule: long non-coding RNA, 957 nt
Organism: Dama dama (fallow deer)
Lineage: Eukaryota; Metazoa; Chordata; Mammalia; Artiodactyla; Cervidae
Exons: 4
Source: RefSeq, a predicted model, not a curated record
CACAAAGGAGAACUUGGCUCACCAAUUGAGGCAGAUCCGGCCUUAAAGGAUAACCUGUCUGAAAUCCCACUUCUCCACCCAGGUUCUCCACCCAAGAUCCAAGACUCCUGACUUCAGCCAAGUGCCUUGCAGUUGUGACAGAAUUAUUAAAGAGCACGGGGAGUAUCUGGAAUUGGGCAACUGGUGUCUAGGAGCUGAACACACAGCUUAUUCCAGUGGAGAAGACUUUCUUAUACAUCCUUCCACUUGGGAGCCACAGUGAUUCUGAAAUAUUCUGCCAACUAUUCCAUGCUAUUGAAGGGUUUGGAGGUAUCCAGUACAAAUCCUUCAAACUCAGCCAAUUCCAGCAUAGACGGUUGACAGUCAACAUUACAUCUGCCCCAUUAACCAGACUUCUGACACAGUUCCAGCUACUGUUUCAAAAAGCAACUGGCUCCAAUUCCAGGAAAAUCAAUUGAUCCACAAGGCAGAUGGGAAUCUUCCAAGGAACUUCCAAAUGCAAUAAUUUCAGCCAGGUUCCCAGUCCUGCCUGGAAUGCAUGCUCCCCUGAGGCUGUAAUGUCAGCUUUCAUCAACCACACUCCCUCUUCACAACGGACUGGCUCCACCAACCACUCUAGGUUGGGUCAGAGCCUCACUGUAGCCUCAUUCCCAGAACCCACUGAUCCAAGCAAUGUGGGCCUGCCCGCCUCUAGGAAGAGGCUCAGAGUCUUAAGAAAUUCAGUCUGAGUGGUUAAGAAUCUGCCUGCCAAUGUGGAGGACAUGGGUUUGAUUCCUGGUCUUGGAAAAUUCCACAUACUGCUGGGCAACUAAGCCCAUGUGCCACAACUAAAGAGCCCACGCUCUGAGAGCCCACACUCUGCAACAAGAGAAGGCAUGCCCACGAGAAGCCGCAGCUGGAGAGUGACCCCUGCUUGCCACAACCUAGAGAAAGCCCUCGUAUAGCAACAAAGAUCCA